AGAAUGAACGCUAGCGAUAUGCUUAACACAUGCAAGUUGAACGUUGUUUUCGAGUCAAAAUGAAAACAAAGUGGCGAACGGGUGCGUAACACGUGGGAAUCUGCCAAACAGUUUGGGCCAAAUCCUGAAUGAAUGAAAGCUAAAAAGCGCUGUUUGAUGAGCCCACGUAGUAUUAGGUAGUUGGUUAGGUAAAAGCUGACCAAGCCUACGAUGCUUAGCUGGUCUUUUCGGAUGAUCAGCCACACUGGGACUGAGACACGGCCCCAGACUCCUACGGGAGGCAGCAGUGGGGAAUCUUGGACAAUGGGCGAAAGCCUGAUCCAGCCAUGCCGCGUGAGUGAUGACGGCCUUAGGGUUGUAAAGCUCUUUCGCUAGGGACGAUAAUGACGGUACCUAGACAAGAAGCCCCGGCUAACUUCGUGCCAGCCAGGCCGC
RNAcentral lists this ribosomal RNA (435 nucleotides) under uncultured bacterium. RNAcentral describes it as "SSU rRNA". It matches the Rfam family "Bacterial small subunit ribosomal RNA", at positions 26 to 518 of the family's 1533-position model. The record is from RNAcentral.